This 269-nucleotide ribosomal RNA is filed under the name Candona sp. 64 IK-2020. RNAcentral describes it as "partial large subunit ribosomal RNA". Lineage: Eukaryota; Metazoa; Arthropoda; Ostracoda; Podocopida; Candonidae. The record is from RNAcentral.
UGUCUUAGAAUGAAUAAAUUGAAUUUAAGUCCUGCAUAAAAACUUGCAGGUGCUCUUAAGGGACGAGAAGACCCUGUGGAUUUUUAUUUGUUAAAAAAUAAAUUUUAUAAUAUUUUAUUUUUUAUUCAAAUUUGGUUGGGAUGACAGUAAAAUUAACUUUAUUGAAAAGAUAUAGUAUAGAUCCUUUUUAAGGAAAAAAGAACAAAUUACCCCAGGGAUAACAGCGUAAUACUUUUGGACAGGACAAAUGGAUAAAAGUGUUUGCGACC